This is a microRNA precursor of Gadus morhua (Atlantic cod), 58 nucleotides long. Ensembl annotates it as gmo-mir-219-1. Its record names the gene gmo-mir-219-1. The record is from Ensembl. NCBI's taxonomy places the organism in Eukaryota, Metazoa, Chordata, Actinopteri, Gadiformes, Gadidae.
UGUCCAAACGCAAUUCUUGUGUUCCUGGUGGCAGCAGGAGUUGUGACUGGACAUCUGC